Molecule: long non-coding RNA, 316 nt
Filed under: Gossypium barbadense (sea-island cotton)
Lineage: Eukaryota; Viridiplantae; Streptophyta; Magnoliopsida; Malvales; Malvaceae
Description: long non-coding RNA (GBAR_LNC011945)
Source: RNAcentral
AACAUUCUAAUAGCACCACACCUAGCGACCAAACAUCACCGGAGAAACCAUUGGCGUUGCCCCCAUCCCACCUCUCUGGAUCAACCCUUUCAGGACUCAUGUAAGCACACGUACCCAUGCACGCCUCACACGCGUUCCGCGUCCCAACAACAAUCUUACUCACUCCAAAAUCUGCAAUCUUCACCUCUCCUUUCCCGUUUAUCAACAGAUUUGAUGGUUUUAUAUCGCCAUGAACGAUUUGCAUUCCAUGCAAAUACUGCAACCCUCGUACAACUCUUUGGGUAAUCACCGAAACAACAUCCUCAGGCAACUUCAC